Molecule: non-coding RNA, 204 nt
Organism: Oryza barthii
Lineage: Eukaryota; Viridiplantae; Streptophyta; Magnoliopsida; Poales; Poaceae
Source: Rfam
UAAAAAAACAAACCCUGAUUUCCGUGCCCAACAUUUAACCGUCCGUUUUAUUUAAAAAAAUUAUAAAAAAAUAAAAAGACAAGUCACGCAUAAAGUAUUAAUCAUAUUUUAUCAUCUAACAAUAAUAAAAAUACGAAUUAUAAAAAAAUUUCAUAUAAGACGGACAGUUAAAGUUGGACACAAAAUCUUAGGGUUUGCCUUUUU